Equus caballus (horse) is the source of this 1146-nucleotide non-coding RNA. The record is from RefSeq and is a predicted model, not a curated record. NCBI's taxonomy places the organism in Eukaryota, Metazoa, Chordata, Mammalia, Perissodactyla, Equidae.
UCCUCUUCUACAGCGCCUUCUAUCUGCACUCUCUAUGCCCCUCCCCCAAUCCCCUAAGUUCUAGAACCAUGGCAGGCAUUCACAGAUGGAGUUUCCGAGAUCCCCAGGCCGUUUUUGUUUCCUCAGUGCUACUCUCCCCUAAAAUGUUCUACAAGGACGAAUGGACUAAUUGGGAAAACACCACCACCUAUUUCUCAUUCAUCUCUCAGGACACGCAUAUUGGACCCAGAACAGUGCCUGGAACAAGCUGGAAGUAAUCCUCUCUAUUCUGAGUGCCCACAGCCCUCCAUCUGUACUUUUCUUGUGGCACAUUUCCCUCUCUACCGCAGAUCCUGGAUGUUAAUGCACGUGGUCUAUCUCCUCCCUAGAAGGUGUUUAAUAAACACGCCUAGUUUCAACAUUGCCCUAAGAGAUGAGAAGAGAGAUUGUAAUGAUGAUGGCAAUGAUGACGAUGACAAGUUGAACCACAACAAUGACUAGACCAAGAGCUCAGGGAAGAAAAGGAAGGACAUUGACUUUUUACUCAUCAUUGUAACCCUGGCACCUAGUGUAGUGACUGUCCCAUAAUUAGUGCUCAAUGAAAGGCUGUUGAAUGAAUGAUGUUGAUGGUGAUGAUGCUGUCUUUUGAAAUCUCUCUGUGACACUCAACAUGGAGGAGGUGACACUUGCUCCUUGAAACAAAAGAUACAGGUCAAGCAUGUGAAGUUCUGUCUGUGUCUUGCCAAAAGGAAGAGGAUUUCCUUCUUGCACUUUCUUCCCCUCCCAUUUAAACAAUGUCCACAAGCUGGGAGAAGGUAUAUAAACAUAUAGAUUGUGUUUGCACACCCAGCUCUGGGUUGAUAAUGGCCACAUUUCCUGCCUUAUGAAAACUGUCAGAUUCUCUGUUGUCAAAGCUCUCUUUGUCCCAGAAUGACAUUCAUUAACCUUCCCCUGAGCUGAGAGGGUGCCCAGGGGCCUCGCCCUGUAUUGUUGGCCUUUGUCUAUCUCUUGUCAAUCUUUUCCCACAGCAGUUCAGAAGAGGCAGUGAGGAGUUCCUUGAAAAUCGUGUGUAAGGCUAAUUCUUGAGAAGGGAGCCGAUUGCCUAAAGGUAAGCUUGAUUUUUUUCAUUACCCCAUAAAAGAAUCAAGUGAGUCAAGAAACUGCUAU